AUCCACUGUGGAGAGCGCAGGAGAGACACAAAAUUCAGCGAACUGCGUGCGUUGAACCUAAACCGCACUUAACUCGCAAACCGGGACUCUACUUGUAGCACACUGGACCUUUGCAAAUAGUGAGGUUCGAGUGUUUGAUAUUGGUUUCGAACUUUUCCACACUUUGUGGAGGGUCGUAGACGGCGAUCCGACCCGCGGUUCGAAUUUGUGGAUUUUUGGCUAAGUCCUAAGAGUUUUACUCUCGGGGACCAGUCCCUGGUAGGAGAGACCGGUCCCAUCGGCUGUGGUUGCGGCAGACUGCGAGGCAACCGGUCCCCUGGCCAGGGAGACCGGUUCCCGAACGUCUGUUUUGCGGUAGGUCCUGGAGGACCGGUCCCAGGGGUCGGGGAGACCGGUCCCUCUGCCCGAAAACAGCCCAGACCGGGCUUUGCAACGGUUGAAAAGUUGAGGGGCUUUUCUGGAUUUUGUUGCUUUGGAGGGCCUAUAUGGCCAUUUCUCUCUCUCUCUCUCUCUCUCCCUCAUUUCUCUCCCUCACACCCUCGUUAGAGAAGGGAAAGGAGAAGAAGGAGGAGAAGCGGAAGAAGGAAGGUAGGAGAAGGAGAAGAUCAACUAGAGGACUUGGAGCAUCUUCCUCUCCCUCUCUUCUUCCCAUUAGUGCUUGAAGGCUUGGACUUGGAGCUUGCUAGAGAGGAGAUCAUCACUCUUGGAGCUUGGUUAGGAGCUUCUAAGAAGGUUAGUUGCUUAUUUCUUCCCUCUAGACCUAGUNGUCUGCGGUGCUGACCAAGAGAGCAUUAGUUUCAGAUUCGGUACUUUUGGACUUCUUGACCGGUUGACGCAUAUGUCUAUCGUAGCAGUCGUUGCAUGCAUAUUUACAGUUCUUACUUUAUAGUUGUUUUGCUACUAUAGUAGACAUUCAUGUAUGCUUUCGGUUCCAGUUACAGUAGCGGUAGCCGUUAUUCAGUCUAGUUCUUACUUUCUUUCAGUUUAUUGCUACUGUAUUCGUCAUAUCUGCUCAUUACCUUACAUAUCUCUUUCGUUAUUAUUGUUGCUACUAUAUUUCCACUCACCCGUGUUGUUGUAUAGCUCCUCCUGAUCCGGUGAGUACUCCUCGCCUUCUUCGGCUUGCGGUACCCACUGGGAGGGGAGACAUGUUUACAUGUUCUCACCUCCCCCACCAUUUUUCAGGUAUCGCGGGCGAUGAGUAGUGGGACGAGACGUGAGGUACGUGUGUAGCGGUCGAUAGAGCUUCCGACCCAAGUUAUUUCGGUAUAGUUAUUACCCUUAUUAUUUCAGUUGUUCUAGCUUAGAUAGUUAUAUGGUUCAGUAUUUUUAUUACAUUUGAAAAUAUGGAUUUUCGUGAAUGUAAUAAACGGAUUCCUGGAUUUUGUAAAAUAAAAGGUUUUCUACCCCUCGUGAUAGCAUUUUUAAAGAAUAAAAGUUCCUGUGUAGGAACAGUUUUCAAAAGGUUUUCUAUGGAUUUUGCAUCUUAGUAUUUCAAAACUUGUUUCUGUGGUUGGAAACAUUUUAACUGAUAGAUGUGGAUUUAUGUUUAAAUAUUGAAUGUAAAAAUGUGAACCUGUGGUGAAUAGUGUAUGAAUAUAUAACUAUGGUUAUUUGUAUGUUCAUCUGGUUGUGGUUGUAUCAUGUUUGAACUCUUGUACUUGUGCGACGCCGUGCAAAUAUAGGGGAGACUCUGUCCGUGUGAACAGUGGAUCUUCUGUAUUUGUGGCGGAUCUG
This 1737-nucleotide long non-coding RNA is filed under the name Ananas comosus (pineapple). RNAcentral's name for it is "long non-coding RNA (ACOM_LNC027883)". Lineage: Eukaryota; Viridiplantae; Streptophyta; Magnoliopsida; Poales; Bromeliaceae. The record is from RNAcentral.